AGCGAACGCUGGCGGCAGGCCUAACACAUGCAAGUCGAACGGAUCCUUCGGGAUUAGUGGCGGACGGGUGAGUAACACGUGGGAACGUGCCCUUUGGUUCGGAACAACUCAGGGAAACUUGAGCUAAUACCGGAUGUGCCCUUCGGGAGAAAGAUUUAUCGCCAUUGGAGCGGCCCGCGUCUGAUUAGCUAGUUGGUGAGGUAACGGCCCACCAAGGCGACGAUCAGUAGCUGGUCUGAGAGGAUGAUCAGCCACACUGGGACUGAGACACGGCCCAGACUCCUACGGGAGGCAGCAGUGGGGAAUCUUGCGCAAUGGGCGAAAGCCUGACGCAGCCAUGCCGCGUGAAUGAUGAAGGUCUUAGGAUUGUAAAAUUCUUUCAGCGGGGACGAUAAUGACGGUACCCGCAGAAGAAGCUCCGGCUAACUUCGUG
This 433-nucleotide ribosomal RNA is filed under the name uncultured bacterium. RNAcentral's name for it is "partial 16S ribosomal RNA". It matches the Rfam family "Bacterial small subunit ribosomal RNA", at positions 29 to 507 of the family's 1533-position model. The record is from RNAcentral.